GCCAUCCCCAUCCCCAUUGUCUCUCCCCCUCCCCCAUCAAUAAUAUCCGCCCCGCAUCCCCAACCUUCCUUCGCUUCUACCAUCUAUCUCCCUCCGAUUCGUCGCCUUGGCCAUCUUCUUCGCGUUGGGUUUCAAGGUCGGCAUGUCCUCUUCGCCUACCGAUGCCAUCCAGUGCUACCUUCGAUUCUGAUUGAGUGAUCGUUCAACAAUGAUGAAGUCCCAUGGCGUUGUAGUCUUAGAUCAUGACUGCCCCAUCAACGCAUCAUGAAAUCCUCACCAAAGGUCAUGUUCAUUCAACACUACUGGGAACCGCUGAAAGUUGUACAAUGAUGAAGACCAUAAGUGUUACCAAUAAACAAUGAGUAUUUGAAAGAAGUGCUUCUAGCAUGGCGGGAAGUCAUGUAAGUGUAAAGGCUACAACCUUGAUUCUCACAAAAAGGGUGCCACAUUGAGUUUGCAAUUGCGCCAUUGCGGGCAAUGGAGCCAGCUUUUGGGUCCUUCCCUUACAUAGAAAAGGCAUGCCUUUGGGUUCCUUCUUAUUUUCCUGACCGUCAAGUUUUUUUAAUAAUUUCCAGCAAUAAAAAGAUUGUGCUUUCACACACCUCUUUUAUGUUUGCGUGUUUGGAAUAAUUUUGAUCUUAUGUUUUAUUAUGUUCUGUCCAAUGUUGGCAUGUCUUCAAAGCGAAACCAUCUUAUUUGCAAACCUUGAAGGCAUGUAUUGUUGAAUGAAAUGUUAUAAAUAAACCGAGGAUGCUUGCUUAUAUUGCUUCCAUCCUUCCUUCGUUACACAUUAAUACAAGAAAGUUGGACAGGGGACACUCUGGUUUCUUCCUUCUGGCCCCACUUCUAAUUGUACUACCC
Molecule: ribosomal RNA, 861 nt
Filed under: Triticum aestivum (bread wheat)
Lineage: Eukaryota; Viridiplantae; Streptophyta; Magnoliopsida; Poales; Poaceae
Description: partial small subunit ribosomal RNA
Source: RNAcentral